CGGUGCCACAGCCGGAUCCUGCGACGCGCCAGGUGUCCCAGGACGCAGCACCCCUGGCUGGCUCCCAUGCGCGGUUCCACGAUUGGCCACCAACCACACCAGCGUCCGCGGGGCCCUGGAGUAUAGUGGAGUUCAGGGAUGCCUUGUGACUAACGGCAGGAUUCUGGGGGCUAUAGGAGUCCUGCCGUCUCCACGGUGACUCCUGGUUAAAAAGGGGUGGCAGGGAACCACUUGGGGAAGACUCAUAGCCUAGAGACACCCUCCGAACUCCCGGGGCCAGCGGAGGAAUGACCGAGGAGUGUGUCAUCUCCCCAGUGCGGAUGACGGGCCUUACCUCUGCAGAGGGCCUGUGGGUGGGGUUUGCACCACUUCGGGCUGAGGCCUGGGAUGGUUGUCUUUGCACAUACUGUAAGGGCCUAACCCUGGCCACAGAACUUUCUAGCAGUUCUGGAACAAUCCUACCAUGCACGGAUCUGUAGGAAUUUUUAGGGCCCAUGGCGUCCCAGCGGCUGCUCGGAGCCAUGUUUCCAGACACUGUUUUCUGGAGUGGAUUGGGGACAGCUUCUGUCUGGAAGGGACUGGACAAUGCCCUUCUAGCCGAGGACGGAUAUAGUGGCACAUGUGAGACCAUGCUGGUGGUCCCUGACCUCUGAAGAAGACUAGGAUUCCCCAUCCUGCCCACAGACACUGAAAGCAAUCUGAAAGCCUCAGUACUGCCACGGGCCAGCUGGGGUGAUCCUGAGACUACAUUAGAAGCCACUGUACCCUGAGAGUGAUUUGGGGGUAUGACGUGAGUGACAGACCCCUGUUGAUAAACUGAGGGGGACUUAGUGGCUAAACCCGGGGCCUGGAAAGGGACAGGGACCAUGCCACUAGCAUGGCUGGGAGCCACCUCCCUUGGGGAAGAGACCCUUUCUCAGACAGGGACCUAUGAUCAUGGCCCCCAUCAGCUCCCAGAGGACUGGAGUACAUCCACUGGGUUGCACCAGUGACCCUGGCUUUGCUGAAUAGGUCAUUGGAUCCACUUGAUCCUGACACUUGGAACACAGCCUCAUCCAAUUCUCCUAGCUUGGCUUGGUCCCCUGUGACCCCAGAUGGCAUUAUCCUAGCAUCUUGGCUCAAUUGUAAGGCUCUUGAUAGAACCGUGGGCACUCGGUGUAGACUCCUCACUGUGCCACUAGCUGCCGGGGCUGAGGAGUGACCUGGAGCCAGACUGGUGGUGUGGGGCAUCUGCAAGGGGGCUAAAGACCUCUCCCCAGCCAGGCUUUGAGGUAAGGAGGGGCAGUGAUGUCAAUCACCAUGGGCCCCUUGGAGCAGCUCUGAGCCACACUAGAGGCCCCCAUCAUUGGCACAGAACCAGGGGGACAACUGGGCUCACCCGACUCACUACUGAACCUGGGAGCAAGUUUGGAGCAGCUAAGCUAGCGGAGGGUCUUACAGAUAGACUUGGCUUCUUUCUGUCUGCCAUCAGACUGGGAGCCACCCAACUGGACACAGAGCCUGCGGGAAGGCUGUGACCCAUGCCUCGGAUGGUGGAGCCCGGGGGAAGGCUGGAGGUUAUGCCACCAGGCAGAGUGCCUGGGACUGCGCCCGUGCUCAUUCUACUGGCUACAAAACCUCCUGCCGCACCACGACCAGCCCUGCUCUUCAGAGAGUCCUGCGGAAUCACAUCUCUCUGCUGGUAACUGGGUGGGACCAUGGAUGCCUCAGAAGGGUGCCAGCAGUCUAUGUUUUUUGGAAUAACCACACUGAUCUGGGAGCUGCUGGGGUCCAUGCUGUUCAGGGAAAGAUUAGACUGAGUCACGGCCAGUCUGUUGGGCACUGAAGCCAGAGAGGGGCUGGGGGCCAUCCCUGUGGUUCCAGAGGGAUGUGUCAAAGGGCCACCUGCCUCUAAGACCUGGGAUGCAAGGGAAGCCAUGCCAUUGGCCACCUGACAUUGACUUUGGCCCAUGCCAGUUGCUAUGGUUCUCCAGGGGAGAUUCCCAGCUAGGCCAGGAGAUGUGGUCCCCUGAGACCCACUGGGGAACAUAGCAUCAGCCAAAGGCUCCUGGGGAUGGCUUACAGCCACACCCCUGAACAGAGGCGUGAUUCACUGGCCUACACAACAGGCCUCCUCAUCAGCAUGAGAGAGAUUUGGUGUUGAAACACUAACCACAGAGGGUGGACACACAUGCCUCCCACCAACCCUGGGUGGAUGAUGGAACCCAAGGGACACGUCGUUGAACUUGAAGUCCGGGGGGCUGGAUACCAUCUCACUAACCAUCAGAGGUUCUUCACAUAGGUUCACCCCAGUACCCAGGGAUGGCUGGUUCAGACCCUGGUCCAUAUUUCCAGCCACAGAGGGAUAUGGUCCACCCAGGCUAACUGAAACAAACGCUGAUGGGUGACACAGACACGGGGCUACUGAGUCCACCCUUGAACACUGCAGAUUUGAAUCCAGCCUAGAGCCCCAGCAUGGCUCAUUGAGGCCAUGACAUGUACCACUGACCACAGAUGGCUGGGAUCGGCUUGGGGCCAACCUAGUGUCCGGGGGUGACUGAGCCAGGCUUAGGGCUUCCGUGUGGGCCACAGAUGGUGGGAAUAGGCUGGGGGCUAUAGCUGGCUCGGCUAGGCUGGAGGCUAGGGUACAGGAUGAAUUUGUCUUGCCUGGACUGGAGGCCACAGAUGGUUGGGCUUGCCUUGGGGAUACUGCAGUGGUCUGAGAUGGGUGGGCUAGGCUGGAGCCCGCCCCACUGGCCACAUAUGGGUGAGCUAGACUUGGAGACAACCCAUGGGGUCCUGAUGGGUGGGCUAGGCUUGGGGACACACCAAUGGCUUGAGAUGGCUGGGCUGGGCUUAAGGACACCACACAGGUCAUAGGUUGGUGGGCUAGCCUUGAAGACAUCCCUGUGGCUUGAGACGGCUGGGCUAGGCUUGGGGAUACACCACAGGCCAUAGGUUGAUGAGCUGGUCUUAAGGGCACUGCAGUGGUGGCCUGAGAUAGCUGGGCAAGGCUUGGGGACACCUCACUGGGCAUAGAUCGAUGAACCUGGCUUGGGGACACCAUACAGGUCAUAGAUGCAUGAGCUCUGCUAGGGGACAUCCUGCUGGUUAUAGAUGCGUGAGCUUGGUUUGGGGACACCCUGGAGGCCACUGGUGGGUAAUCUUGUCUAGGGGACAUCCCACUGGCUUGAGAUGGCUGGGCUAGGCUUGAGGAAACCCUACUGGCCACAGAUUGGUGGGCUACACUUGGGGACACCCCAGUGGCCUGAGAUGGCCAGGUCAAGCUUGGGGAUUCCCCAGUGGACUGAGGAGGCUGGGCCAGGCUUGGAGACUCCCGAAUGGCCAUAGAUGGGUGAGCUAGGGUUGGGGACACUCCAAUGGUGUGAAAUGGCAUGGCUAGGCUUGGGGACACUCCAAUGGUCUGAGAUGGCAUGGCUAGGCUUGGGGACACUCCAAUAGUCUGAGAUGACAUGGCUAGGCUUGGGGACACUCUGAUGGUCAGAGAUGGCUGGGUCAGGCUUGGAGACUCCCCAGUGGGCUGAGAUGGGUAGGCUGGGCUUGGGGACACCUCAGUGGGCUGAAAUGGGUAGCCUGGGCUUGGGGACACCUCAGUGGCCAUAGAUAGGUAGCCUGAGCUUGGGGACAUCUCAGUAGGCUGAGAUGAGUAGUCUGGGCUUGGGGACACUUCAGUGGCCACAGAUAGGUAGCCUGAGCUUGGGGACACCUCAGUGAGCUGAGAUGGGUAGCCUGGGCUUGGGGACACCUCAGUGGCCACAGAUAGGUAGCCUGAGCUUGGGGAUAUCUCAGUGGGCUGAUAUGGGUAGGUUGGGCUUGGGGACACCUCAGUGGCCACAGAUGGGUAUUCUGGGCUUGGGGACAUCUCAAUGGCCAUAGAUAGGUAGCCUGGGUUUGGGGACACCUCAGUGGGCUGAUAUGAGUAGGCUGCACUUGGGGACACCUCAGUGAGCUGAUAUGGGUGGGCUGGGCUUGGAGAUACCUCAGUGGGCUGAAAUGGCUGUGCCAGGGUUGGGUACUCCCUAAUGGCCUGAGAUGGGUAGGUUGGACUUGGGGACACCUCAGUGGGCUGAAAUGGCUGAGCCAGCAUUGGGUACUCCCCAACAGACUGAGAUGGGUAGUCUGGACUUGGAGACACCCCAAAGGCUUGAGAUGGCUGGGCCAGAUUUGAGGUUACCCCAGGGGCUUGAGAUGGCUGGGCUAGGCUUGAGGGCUCCCCACUGUCCAUAGAUGGCUGGGCUAGGUUUUGGGACCCCCAGUUAGCCAUUGAUUGGUGACCUUGGUCUGAGGCCACUCUAAAGGUCCUUGAUGGGUGUCCUCGGCUUGGGGACCUCCUAGUCACCACAGAUGGCUGUGCUGGUCUUGGUGUCACUCUAUUAGGCACAGAGGAGUGUGGUAGCCUUGGGGUCACCCAAUUACCCAUAGAUGGGCAGGUUAGCCUUGGGGAUACCUUACUGGAUGCUAUAUGCUGGGAUAGGCUUGGGGCCAGCCUACUGAACCCUGAUGCCUGGCCUAGGUUUGGGGCUACCCUACUGGCCAGUGUAGCCUGGGACACAAUUGGGGCCAAGCUCUUGGCCACAGAUGGUGGCUUAUAUGCAGUGGAGACCACAGUACCUAAAGACAGAGUCCUCCUCAGCUCUGUCUUGACGGUUGCCUGGGACACCUCAAUCAGAUUCACAGAGCUCUUGCCUAAGGAGAACUUGUGGAUCUCAGCCUCUGAGCCCCAGUGAACACGCAAGGUCAAGCAGUUAGACACUGAGCUGUGUUGGAAACUGGGCACUUUCUCCGAGGCUGGAGUGGGCCGGUAGGGGAAGUGUAGGGUCAUGUACCUAUAGCCGGUUUCAGUCUCUUGCGUAUCCUUAAACCUCUGGAGUGUCCCCAUGGACUCCGGAGGAAAAACAGACUUCACCGCAAGGUCCCCUUCUAAACUGCUUUCCCGUGACUCAUCUAUCUUGUUGACGGCAGGCAGGCUGGCCACAGACAUAGUGGAAAGGCUGAGGGAACUAGAACUUUGCAGAGAGCUUUCGGAAUUGUUCUCCUGACUGUAGGUCACAAAGCCCUGGGAGAAGCUCCUGGCCAGGUCACCGUCUCGAUCCUGUGGCAAACCACCUACUGGCUCACCGAGGAUGGAUGGCUGGUGGUCUGUUGCUAGCUUCUGGGGGCAGAGCAGGGCAGACACAGAACCCUGUGUUCGAUUCCUCCCCUGUCCACAGACAGAUGUCUUGGGACGAACUUGAGCCAAUGCACUGCCGGGGGAAGCUUGAAACAGACCAUGAGUCUUGGAUGCCUGAGUUUUGGUCACCAUGGUGACCUGCAAGGGACUUGGGGCCCCCUUGUCUAUCACCUCCCUAGUACCCGGGGGGGCCUGUUUGCGAUUUGGGGGCUGAUACCUCCUCCCCAGGCUCUCCCUGGAAGCCCUGGAUGCCUGCUGCUGGCCUCUGGCCACUAAGGGUUGGUAGAGACCACGAUGUACCCCUGAGGACUGACACCAAGGCAGGCCCCCACAGGUGAGGUAAGGCUGGUGAACAUGGGCAGCCCUCCCACCACCCACGCUGCAAGGAAGCCUACCCGAGGCCACCCUGCCCUCCCUGGUCGAUAGAUAAGAGGCCACCCUGCUGACCACAUGUGGCCUGUGGCAGCUCGGGGCUGUGCCAUAGAUCACAGAGGGCUGGUUCAUGCUUGGGCCCACACAGUUGGCAAUGAGAGGCUGCCACAGACUCGGGGGUGGCUGCAUGUGGGACAGCUUGAGCAAACUGGGGCCCUCCCCACUCCCCUCGGGGUUAAAAUCUGAUGCCAAUGUGCCAGGCUCCAGGGUCGGGCAUGCUUCUUCCUUUUGGAACUUGGGGCUCAAAUCCAGGUUUGAGGAGAAGUCCCUGCUGGACUCCAUCAUCUCCCGGGACAGCAUGGGAUACAGGCCAGUGAUCAGGGGACCCUGGUGAAUGCUGGUGAUGACGCUACCCAUCACCGAGGCUCCCACAGUGACCACAGAUAAGCAGGGUGACCCCCACAAGAUGGCCCCAUCAAUCCCCCAUCUCCUCCAAGGGCCCGGCAGGUUGGCCCAUGGUGAAACAACCCCAGAUCCCAACCUGGGAAUCCCUGACCUUGCUGGUCUGUGGUCUCACGGGGCCCAGGGAGGGCCCCCAUGCGGCCGAUGGACUCCUCCUGCAGGCCACCUUCACCAGGGCCGGCGUCUUAG
This 6193-nucleotide long non-coding RNA is filed under the name Homo sapiens (human). RNAcentral describes it as "HSALNT0256756". The record is from RNAcentral. Lineage: Eukaryota; Metazoa; Chordata; Mammalia; Primates; Hominidae.